RNAcentral lists this ribosomal RNA (271 nucleotides) under uncultured prokaryote. RNAcentral describes it as "partial 16S ribosomal RNA". It matches the Rfam family "Bacterial small subunit ribosomal RNA", at positions 524 to 794 of the family's 1533-position model. The record is from RNAcentral.
UACGUAGGUGGCGAGCGUUGUCCGGAAUUACUGGGCGUAAAGCGUGCGCAGGCGGUUUGCUAAGACAGGUGUGAAAUCCCCGGGCUUAACCUGGGAACUGCGCUUGUGACUGGCAGGCUAGAGUACGGUAGAGGGGGGUGGAAUUCCUGGUGUAGCAGUGAAAUGCGUAGAUAUCAGGAGGAACACCGAUGGCGAAGGCAGCCCCCUGGGCCUGUACUGACGCUCAUGCACGAAAGCGUGGGGAGCAAACAGGAUUAGAUACCCCGGUAGU